AUGUUACUUCUCAAUAGUGCCAUUCAAGCACUUGAUCUUGUGGAAAUCCCACUAAAAAGCAUAAGUUACACAUGGAGCAAUAUGCAAGACAAUUCAUUGUUGGAAAAACUUGACUGGAUAUUUACUUCUGCAAAUUGGACUAUUUCGCUCCCAAAUACUAUUGCUCUCUCAAUGGCUAGAAUUACAUCAGGCCACAACCCUAUGCAUUGA
This 210-nucleotide ribosomal RNA is filed under the name Triticum aestivum (bread wheat). Its description in RNAcentral is "partial small subunit ribosomal RNA". The record is from RNAcentral. Lineage: Eukaryota; Viridiplantae; Streptophyta; Magnoliopsida; Poales; Poaceae.